CCCGACCAUUGCUGCUACCUUGACGUGGUGGUCCGGCUUGCCUAUCGUGAUGAGCCAAUCGAGCUACACUGGCUGGAACAGUCAUUCCCCAAGGUUCUACCAUGCCAGACAGGUCGGUUGAAGAGCGGUAAGACUAAAAGCAGU
Molecule: non-coding RNA, 144 nt
Filed under: Schistosoma mansoni
Lineage: Eukaryota; Metazoa; Platyhelminthes; Trematoda; Strigeidida; Schistosomatidae
Source: RNAcentral